RNAcentral lists this long non-coding RNA (433 nucleotides) under Neogale vison (American mink). RNAcentral's name for it is "Neovison vison (American mink) lncRNA (ENSNVIG00000005913.1)". Lineage: Eukaryota; Metazoa; Chordata; Mammalia; Carnivora; Mustelidae. The record is from RNAcentral.
UCCUUCUCUUUUCCAGAAGUUUUAAGCACAGAUGAAGAUGUUUUACCUGGAUCCUCUGGGUUGGCCCAAGGCCAUGGCCAGAUGGCAGCAGAUUCAAACUCAGAAUACUCCUGUGUGUCUGCAGACAGUGUCAUUCCCUAUGUACUCAAGACGGCAACCCAACAGGAUGCAGCCCAUCCUAAGUCCUCUGCCGUGGUCCCUCCUGGUGGUGAGGCAGCAAAACAACAAUCCUCUGCCUCAGAGUAUUUCUCCUGUUUCUCAACUCUAUCUGAGCUGAUUCGUGCUAAUGAGGAUGAAGUUUUAAACACAUCUGAAGAUGUUUUAUCUGAACCCUCUGGGUUGGCCCAAGGCCAUGGCCAGAUGGCAGCAGAUGCAGUCUCACAAUACUCCUGUGUGUCUGCAGACAAGCUCAUUCGCUGUGGUAUGUGGUGGG